UGAGGGAUCGUCUAACGGCAGGACUGCGGAUUCUGGCUCCGCCAAUCAAGGUUCGAAUCCUUGUCCCUCAGCCA
This 74-nucleotide transfer RNA is filed under the name Desulfobacterales bacterium. Its description in RNAcentral is "tRNA-Gln". It matches the Rfam family "tRNA". From Rfam's summary of the family: Transfer RNA (tRNA) molecules are approximately 80 nucleotides in length. Their secondary structure includes four short double-helical elements and three loops (D, anti-codon, and T loops). The record is from RNAcentral. Lineage: Bacteria; Pseudomonadati; Thermodesulfobacteriota; Desulfobacteria; Desulfobacterales.